This 1076-nucleotide long non-coding RNA is filed under the name Rattus norvegicus (Norway rat). RNAcentral's name for it is "long non-coding RNA NONRATT004658". Lineage: Eukaryota; Metazoa; Chordata; Mammalia; Rodentia; Muridae. The record is from RNAcentral.
AAGCAAAACAAAGAGAAGGGAUAUUUUCCAAGCGGAAUCUGAAGUCUUUCUGUUAGACUCAGUCUGGGUGUGCAGAACCAGAUGGAGAAAGGACCCCCAGAGAGAGUGGGUGUGCAACACCACCAGAGAAGUCUAGAGUGAGGAUGGAAAGAAAGGAGGGAGGAGAGGAGUAAGUAAAAUGUUGACCAUAGUCCCCAUUGCCUCCCCUUAGAGUGGACGACGUCGUGAAGUCAAUGUACCCUCCACUGGACCCCAAGCUCCUGGAUGCACGGACAACCGCUCUGCUCCUGUCCGUUAGUCACUUGGUGCUAGUGACCAGGAAUGCCUGCCACCUCACCGGGGGCCUAGACUGGAUCGACCAGUCACUGUCUGCUGCGGAGGAGCACCUGGAAGUCCUUCGAGAGGCAGCCCUGGCUUCUGAGCCAGAUAAAAGCCUCCCCAACCCCGAAGGCUUCCUGCAGGAACAGUCGGCCAUUUAAUCAUCGUCGAGGCCCUGUUUCUGCCCCUGGGUGAACCUUCUACUUCCUGUACAUUUAGUUGUUCUCUAGAGCUCGAGCGGCCAGCCCUGGGUGCAGGGUAAAGCCGAGAGUCUCACGCUGGAUGCCUCUGCUGCAGUGGCAAAGAGUGGCUGGAGAGUGGCAGUGUAACACCACGUCUACCGCAGAGCGCAGAAAGCUGCCGGGCUCGCUGCUACAUUUUAGUUCAUUUAAUGUUUCCAAGAAAAUCGAGUUGCCCUCUAAGAAUCGAGAGGCUUCACAUUAAAUUAGAAUUUCCGGCUUCUGAAAAUCAAGGCGGGGCAACAAGGACAAUCAGAACUAAGUGGCGGGGUUGAGAUUGUUUCUGUAUCUUUGGGUGACCCUUGCACUCCCCUUGCUGUUUUGUUUGUGUUUUAGGGCCUGAUCCCUGAUGUCCCGGAGCUCCCCACUCCCACCCCGCUUCUCUUGUACCUUCUUCCCCUUUCCCAUUUGUGUUAGAAGCUGAGGAAUACAGAGUUGAUUGUUUCCUUUUUUAUCACUAUGCCUGCAAUUUUACUUCACAACCACUAGGCGAAUAGUAAACUUGUUCUUCUGUUUUCC